UAAAAUUUAAUAAAAAAAGAGCCGAUGUACUUCAUAUGAUGAAUAUGCCACUGGUUUAGAUGAGAAAUUAAGGUAAUUGAAUAUAUAAAUGUAUGCAGCCUUAAAUCAUUGAUAACAAAAAACGAAGAAUUUGAACAAAGUACCAGUUAAACAUGUUUUAAAAUAAACUUCAAUUGAAAAUUGUAUACAUUUUAACUACCAAAUAAAUUACAAUGUUAUCAUAGUUUUUUUUACAAGAAGUUAUGCUUUGUUUUAUGGAGCAAAAAAUAUUCUGUCCAUAUAAAUCGAAAAAUAGUACAAAAAAUG
Non-coding RNA from Cinara cedri, 306 nucleotides. Lineage: Eukaryota; Metazoa; Arthropoda; Insecta; Hemiptera; Aphididae. The record is from the annotation of a GenBank genome assembly.